AUUGAACGCUGGCGGCAUGCCUUACACAUGCAAGUCGGACGGCAGCACAGAGAAGUUUGCUUCUUGGGUGGAGAGGGGCGCACGGGUGUGAAAUAUAGCUGAACGUACCGAAUAACGGGGGAUAACUCAUCGAAAGAGAAGCUAUACCCGCAUAUAUUCUGAGGAGGAAAGCAGGGGACUUAAAGGCGGUUUGUUAUUCGAGCAGACGUUGUCUGAUUAGCUAGUUGGUGGGGUAAAGGCCUACCAAGGCGACGAUCAGUAGCGGGUCUGAGAGGAUGAUCCGCCACACUGGAACUGAGACACGGCCCAGACUCCUACGGGAGGCAGCAGUGGGGAAUUUUGGACAAUGGGCGCAAGCCUGAUCCAGCCAUGCCGCGUGUCUGAAGAAGGCCUUCGGGUUGUAAAGGACUUUUGUCAGGGAAGAAAAGGCUGUUGCUAAUAUCGACAGCUGAUGACGGUACCUGAAGAAUAAGCACCGGCUAACUACGUG
This 490-nucleotide ribosomal RNA is filed under the name uncultured bacterium. RNAcentral's name for it is "partial 16S ribosomal RNA". It matches the Rfam family "Bacterial small subunit ribosomal RNA", at positions 30 to 507 of the family's 1533-position model. The record is from RNAcentral.